This 1605-nucleotide ribosomal RNA is filed under the name Salmonella enterica. RNAcentral's name for it is "partial 23S ribosomal RNA". It matches the Rfam family "Bacterial large subunit ribosomal RNA", at positions 1216 to 2803 of the family's 2925-position model. The record is from RNAcentral. Lineage: Bacteria; Pseudomonadati; Pseudomonadota; Gammaproteobacteria; Enterobacterales; Enterobacteriaceae.
AGGUGUUGUUGGGUAGGGGAGCGUUCUGUAAGCCUGCGAAGGUGGCCUGUGAGGGUUGCUGGAGGUAUCAGAAGUGCGAAUGCUGACAUAAGUAACGAUAAAGCGGGUGAAAAGCCCGCUCGCCGGAAGACCAAGGGUUCCUGUCCAACGUUAAUCGGGGCAGGGUGAGUCGACCCCUAAGGCGAGGCCGAAAGGCGUAGUCGAUGGGAAACGGGUUAAUAUUCCCGUACUUGGUGUUACUGCGAAGGGGGGACGGAGAAGGCUAUGUUGGCCGGGCGACGGUUGUCCCGGUUUAAGCGUGUAGGUGUGUGUUCCAGGUAAAUCCGGUUCACUUUAACACUGAGGCGUGACGACGAGGCACUACGGUGCUGAAGCAACAAAUGCCCUGCUUCCAGGAAAAGCCUCUAAGCAUCAGGUAACGUCAAAUCGUACCCCAAACCGACACAGGUGGUCAGGUAGAGAAUACCAAGGCGCUUGAGAGAACUCGGGUGAAGGAACUAGGCAAAAUGGUGCCGUAACUUCGGGAGAAGGCACGCUGACACGUAGGUGAAGUGAUUUACUCACGGAGCUGAAGUCAGUCGAAGAUACCAGCUGGCUGCAACUGUUUAUUAAAAACACAGCACUGUGCAAACACGAAAGUGGACGUAUACGGUGUGACGCCUGCCCGGUGCCGGAAGGUUAAUUGAUGGGGUCAGCGCAAGCGAAGCUCCUGAUCGAAGCCCCGGUAAACGGCGGCCGUAACUAUAACGGUCCUAAGGUAGCGAAAUUCCUUGUCGGGUAAGUUCCGACCUGCACGAAUGGCGUAAUGAUGGCCAGGCUGUCUCCACCCGAGACUCAGUGAAAUUGAACUCGCUGUGAAGAUGCAGUGUACCCGCGGCAAGACGGAAAGACCCCGUGAACCUUUACUAUAGCUUGACACUGAACAUUGAGCCUUGAUGUGUAGGAUAGGUGGGAGGCUUUGAAGUGUGGACGCCAGUCUGCAUGGAGCCGACCUUGAAAUACCACCCUUUAAUGUUUGAUGUUCUAACGUGGACCCGUGAUCCGGGUUGCGGACAGUGUCUGGUGGGUAGUUUGACUGGGGCGGUCUCCUCCUAAAGAGUAACGGAGGAGCACGAAGGUUGGCUAAUCCUGGUCGGACAUCAGGAGGUUAGUGCAAUGGCAUAAGCCAGCUUGACUGCGAGCGUGACGGCGCGAGCAGGUGCGAAAGCAGGUCAUAGUGAUCCGGUGGUUCUGAAUGGAAGGGCCAUCGCUCAACGGAUAAAAGGUACUCCGGGGAUAACAGGCUGAUACCGCCCAAGAGUUCAUAUCGACGGCGGUGUUUGGCACCUCGAUGUCGGCUCAUCACAUCCUGGGGCUGAAGUAGGUCCCAAGGGUAUGGCUGUUCGCCAUUUAAAGUGGUACGCGAGCUGGGUUUAGAACGUCGUGAGACAGUUCGGUCCCUAUCUGCCGUGGGCGCUGGAGAACUGAGGGGGGCUGCUCCUAGUACGAGAGGACCGGAGUGGACGCAUCACUGGUGUUCGGGUUGUCAUGCCAAUGGCACUGCCCGGUAGCUAAAUGCGGAAGAGAUAAGUGCUGAAAGCAUCUAAGCACGAAACUUGCCCCGAG